Molecule: long non-coding RNA, 1686 nt
Organism: Macaca mulatta (Rhesus monkey)
Lineage: Eukaryota; Metazoa; Chordata; Mammalia; Primates; Cercopithecidae
Source: Ensembl
AUCCUCCAUCCCCCUUUUACUUCUCUCUUCCCCUCUCUCCUCCCUCCCGCCUCCUUUCUCCCUCUCCCCCUCCCUCUCUCCUCUGAAUAAGCAAGCUUUUGCCUCUAAAAGUCACAAGUAAUCCUCGUGUGUGACAGAAAGAGAGAGAGAGAGAGAGAGAGAGAGAGAGAGAGAAACGAGCUGGCCGAGAGGAGCAGAAGGCAGGAGGGGAAAUCUGGCACAACGGCUGGGAGAGGAAACUUGAUGCUUCUGGGCCACCAUUUGCCAGGGCCUCGCUCAAGCCGGCGCCUCGGUUCCUGCCCAGCUGGAUUUGGGGGGCAGCAUUUCCUGGCGCAGGGAGAUCAAAUGAGACUGCAAAGAAGCAUAAAUGAAUAGACAAUCCAACCAACCAAAGACCGGGGGCAGCAGCAGGCCAGCAAGACGGCAUCUUCUCCUUCCCAGCCUAGAAGCCCUGUGAAAUCGAGGAUCUUCCCCCUAAAACACAUACACACAAGAUAUGUGCAAUCAAGCUGCCACCGCUUGGUAAAAAGCUCAUGGUGCCUAACCAAAAAGGAUCAGGAGCAGAUCCUUGAAUCAGCUGUCACUUCUAUAGAAUGGGAUGGUUUUUUUUUUCCUUCCUCCUUAACCUGCGCUGGAAAUUGCCGUUGGCUUUAUACAUCUCUAUAGAGAGAGGCUAAAGAGUCUUGCGUGAGAAAGAAGCAAUUUACAAUGCAAAUAGAGGCCUGUGAAGGGACGGAUGCUGCUGCUCACUCGUAACAGCUUGCUGCACCUUAAUAGCUGGUUUUAUUUUCUGAUAUUAAUAGAUGAAUUGUUGGCUAACGCUGCCGGAGAUUACUUGCUGAAAGGAAAAAAAAAGUUCGGAAUAAACUCUGAAGGCAACAGAUCUCGUUUGGAUAUUUUAGCCGCGCACACACACAAACAGAAACCAGGUCAUAUUUACAUAAAAGGAGGAAUCUUAAGCGCGGCAAGUAUCCUGGACGACUACUCCUCGGUACUGCCAGAAAGGAUCGGGACCUGGAGUCUGGCAAGAGGAAGACAGAGGCCUGUGUGGGAAGCGAGUUGUUAUCUUUGGUUAUCUAGCUGUAUGAGUGUAUUGGUCUUCAUAAAGCUAGAUAACCGAAAGUAAAAACUCCUUCAAGAUCGCCGGGGAGCGUGUGAGAGUGAAAGACUACAACCGAGAGACAGUAAAAACCAGAAAGGUCAGGAAUACUUAUUGAAUCUAACUUUGUUUUUGUUUUGUUUUUUCCCUGAUGAUUAAAGGUGGGAUGAGAGGAAAUUAAGUGACACACAUAUGCUAAAAUAUCAAGGUGCCAGAUAUAUCUUGAGAGGGGUUGUUGCAGCUGCAAAGAAGUGUAUAGUGCUAAUGAGUAAAGAUGCAUGUGCAGUUUGUUCUAUUUUAAGGCAAAAGUUUAUAUAUCAGGGAUUUUUUUCUUAGAAAGCUGUUGCAGAGAUGUCUGGUACCUAGUUUAAAAAUGAUUCUAUAACAUGUAGACUUGGGCAGUUCCUUCCUGAGGCCCCUCCCCCUCAAAAUUGGAAGAUUGUGCUUGGAAAUUACUUUACAUGUAUUUGGGCUGUCUGUCAAUUUGUACGAAAUUAGACUUUCAGAAAAGUUUAUACCGGAAGGUUAGUAAUUUAUAUAUACUGAGGACUUAGAGCUAGCAGGAAAAAUGAAGAAAAAAAAAAAAA